UUCCGCCGGCGACCGGCGCACGGGUGAGUAACACGUAUGCAACCUGCCCCUGUCAGGGGGACAACCCGCCGAAAGGCGGGCUAAACCCGCGUACAUGCCACCGGGGCAUCCCGGAGGCAGGAAAGGCUUCGGCCGGACAGGGAUGGGCAUGCGGCGCAUUAGGCAGUAGGCGGGGUAACGGCCCACCUAACCGACGAUGCGUAGGGGUUCUGAGAGGAAGGUCCCCCACACUGGUACUGAGACACGGACCAGACUCCUACGGGAGGCAGCAG
RNAcentral lists this ribosomal RNA (272 nucleotides) under uncultured bacterium. RNAcentral's name for it is "partial 16S ribosomal RNA". It matches the Rfam family "Bacterial small subunit ribosomal RNA", at positions 83 to 354 of the family's 1533-position model. The record is from RNAcentral.